AAGGUGAAGAGGAGGCUGAGAGGAAGAGGACUGCUGAGGGAGGCUCUGUCUUUUUAGCCAGAGUUUGACAAUUAGGCUUCAUCGUGUCUUGACACAGUGCUACUGCUGACCCAAAAACAGGACGCAGGAGGUGGUGCUCGCUAGAGACCGUGAGUGGCAUGGUGCAUGUGCCAUCUUGCUGAGGUCUCCCAGGGGAAUUCAGAGGACACCUGGCCUCCUUCAGUCCAGGACUCACUGUUGAAGUGGAGCCGGGGCCCUGGCAGGAAAGAAUCAGGUAUAGGAGGGCCGCUGGCCCGCCAUAGGGAGAGUCUGUGCUGUCCAGCGCCCACCGGAUGGCAGGAGGGGUAGGGCCUUAGGUGAGCCCCACCACAGAGCGAACCUCAUCCAUGGCAAUGGGCCUGUCUCCCCAGCCCACUCACCGGGUGGUGCUGGGAGAGCCCUCAAGCCUGUACCAAAUCCCUUUAUCCCCACAAAUGAGCCAUCCACAAACCUGCACCUGUUAGUGUCCUAGGGCUGCCAGAACAAAUUAACACAAACGUGGUAGCUUGAAACAAUGCACAUGUAUUCUCCUGCAGUUCGGAAGAAGUUUGAAAUUAAGGUGUCGGCAGGUUGGUUCCUUCCUGGGGGCUUGGCAGGGGAAUCUGCUUCCCGUGCUCCCUCCUAGCUUCCAGUGAUGACGCAAUUCUUGAUGUGCCUUGGCUUGCGACAGCGUCACUCCAAUAGCUUCCUCCAUUGUCACGUGACAUUCUCCCUGUGUGUCUGUGUCCAAAUUUCCCUCAUCUUAUAGGGACACAUCGUGGGAUUCAGGGCCCACCCUAACCCAGUGUGACCUCAUCUUAACUCGAUUGCAUCUGCCAAGAUCCCAUUUCCAAAUAAGAUCACAUCCACGAGUGCCAGGGCUUAAGACCGGAACAUGUGUGUCUUAUGGGGGACACACAACCACAUACGAUUCACAGUGAACAUAGCACAGGCUUCAGACUGGGUCAGACUUGGGCAUUGCCAUGUAGCCUGUCCCAUCUCCUUGGCACAGUGAGGUUGGAAAGGCAAGUCUAUCCCAGUGGGCUUCCUAAGGAUUACCCGACAGAGAGGAUCACAGAGCUCUGCGGAGUGUUUGGGAGUGAUAGAGACUCAGCAAAGAUGGCCCCGAAUUGGGUCUCUGGGACUUGGAGGAGGGAGCUUGGUACCAGCUCACCAGAAACUGGCAGUUUAUGGGCCAGUAGGCACUUACCAAGGGGUCUGGCUUAGGAAUGGGACCUCAGUGGUCAGGCUGCCUGCAGGGAGUUGGGGGAGAGCAUGGAUGUCAGGAGCAUGUGUCGGGGCGGGGACUCAAGGCCCAAAGGCUAGGGUGGGAGUUGGGAAGGCCAGGGUGGGAGUCAGGAAGGCUGGGGGCUAGGCUACCGUGGGUUCUUCCAUGAGCCCGGAGACCACAAGUGGAAUGGCCUGGGGGCUUUCUCAGGAUCAAAGGAGCCCCCUGCCAUGUUCCCAAUGGGCUCUGGGUCUGGGCCUGACAGGCAACAUGGGAAUGAGCUGGCUUUUCACUACCAGGUACUCCGAGCAUGCAUCCCCUUUGGGCCUAGGAAUUAAUUCCUCAUUCCACUUCCCCAUCCUCUCCCCAAGACGUGACUUCUCCCUCCUAUCACCAUGGAGUCUGCUAAAGGCUUCCUUCCCGGCCGAGGUGUUCUCUUUUUGUCUAUGUCUUUCCUUCCUUCCCACCCUUCUUUGCUUUCUUCCAAUACUUAGUGUCUACCAUAUGCCAGGGUUUUUCUAGGCCUUCGGGACAUAGAAGUGAACUAGACAGAUGGGUCCUGCCUCAGUGGAAUUUGUAAAUAACAGGAUGAGAAAUAUUAAUCAAGAAACCACACAGUUGAAUGUUUCACAGCAGAGGAACGGGUGCUCCGAGUGAGGGGUAUGAGGGUGGCGGCAGUCAGGAAGAAGGAGAAGCCACUAAGCCAGGCAUGUAAGGGACGUGACUUUAGGCAAGGGCUGAGGAAGUCACCACCUAGGACAAAGGAGAGGAAGAGAAUCUGGGCAGGAGCAUCACCCAUGCAGAGGCCCUGUGGUGGGAGGAUGCUUGGCAAGUGAGAUGGACCAAGAGAGGCUGUGGCUGGAGUGGACAGAGUGAAGGGAAUAUGAGAUGUCCCAGAAGAACUGUGAGCCUGAACCCGGAGCCCCAACCUCUCCUAGCCUCCUGGAGGAGGAUGACCCAGGGUCCCUAUCCUGGCAACAGCAGGCCACCAGUUCAAGGGACAAGAAACUUCUAAGCUCCCUCCACAUUUCACAUAGGGCCCAGGUAGCCUUGGAGUGCCUGCCUUUCUUCCGCACCUAUGGGUGCCUCCUAGCAGAGGAGCGGUUGGUCCUGCAGCCCGAGAUACCACUCCAGGAGGACUCAGAACUGCUUGGUGGGUUCUUCCCUUACUACCGCUCUGAGGAGGAGAGUGUGCCCAGCCUGGCCCCUCCUGGAUGGUCACACAGGGUCCCUUACUACCACUCUGAGGAGGAGAGUGUGCCCAGCCUGGCCCCUCCUGGAUGGUCACACAGGGGCUCCCAAGACCCACCCACUGCGAGGGACAGGCUGGCUGCUUCUGCAGGACAACAGUCAAGGACGAAUGUUCUGUCUCGGCAGGGUGUCCCCAUGACAGUGACCUGGAUGCCCCUCUCUCCAGGGACCAUGGCCUUUAUGCCUCAGGAUUCGUGCCUUACUACAGAACCCCUGAGGAGGGGCUACACACUAGCCUUGGGCCUCCUGCCUCCCCAUCUGGGAGCCAGGGGUCUUUAGGGGCUGCCCAGGCCUGGUGCAGUCACACCACAGGGAAGCUGGAGCUGACUGCGGCCGAAGCCACUGGAGAGCAGACCCCUGGCACCUGCUGACCAUCGAGGGAUGAAGGGGCAGAAGGGAGAAACUCAGCCUGUGCCGCACGUUCAACCACUCCACACCCAGGAAGAGACCCAUCCCACCCCAGGCUGCCACCUUCCUGUACUAGCUGGAAAAACUGCCACGUGAGAAUUGAACAGCCACACCAAAGGAGAGGAGUGUCCAUCUUGCCCAGCACUCUAACCUCAGACCGCUCAUUUUGUAGCCUGUCCUAAGUGCAAACAGAGGGAGCAGGAGCCUCCUGAAGGACUGAAGGGCGCAGACACCCUGAAGCUGGUUUUGUAAAUAAAUCAUAUCACUGUAGAGGUUGGAACUGGUGCGCUAAUUGGCUGCUUUGGAGUAAUACCUGCAGCUUCCAUUUAUCGAGCAUUUACUUUGUACUAGGCACCUUAUAGAGAUCAAGGAUUAUGGAGACACAAUCCUUGGGUGUAGACACUGGUGUCCUCUCCAUUCUACAGCAGAGUAAACAGGCUAAGAGAGGUUAAGUAGGGUGCCUGAGCUCACACAGCUAGCAAACAGCCA
This is a non-coding RNA of Callithrix jacchus (white-tufted-ear marmoset), 3394 nucleotides long. The record is from RefSeq and is a predicted model, not a curated record. NCBI's taxonomy places the organism in Eukaryota, Metazoa, Chordata, Mammalia, Primates, Cebidae.